RNAcentral lists this long non-coding RNA (486 nucleotides) under Triticum aestivum (bread wheat). RNAcentral's name for it is "long non-coding RNA (TAES_LNC014993)". Lineage: Eukaryota; Viridiplantae; Streptophyta; Magnoliopsida; Poales; Poaceae. The record is from RNAcentral.
CUGAUGAUGAAAUAGUAAGCCUGUUGAACAGAAAAUCACACCAAAUGUGAACUGAUAAUCACACAAAAGGUGAACACCUUCAAUAAAUGAACUCUACUAGAUCACUUAGCUCUUUCUUUGACACCUCCUAGUGCAAUCGAAAAUAGCAUCGAUGUUAGAGCUAAGGACUGAGGUAAAUUUUGGUGAAAGCCGGGCACGAAUCACUUGACACGGGCAAGCACGUACCUCGGCCUGGUCAUCUUGUACAGGUGAACGGACAGGGGUGGUGGCUGUGAACGGCCAGAUCGCUUCGGCGGCGGAGCCCCACCGGGAGGAGAUGGCGUGGUGGUGUGGGAGCGAGGGGAGAUGGGGCGCUGCGGCGGCCGGAGCUUAGGGAUAUACGUGCGGCGCGGCGGCCGAAGCUGGGGAAGAUAGGGGCGGGGCGGCUAUGGAAGCAGGGAGGAGAUGGGAGCGAGCGACGGUGAGUGCGGGAGGAAGGUCGGGGUG